CCUACGGGAGGCAGCAGUGGGGAAUAUUGGACAAUGGGCGCAAGCCUGAUCCAGCCAUACCGCGUGUGUGAAGAAGGCCUUCGGGUUGUAAAGCACUUUAAGUAAGGAAGAAAAGUAUAUUGUUAAUACCAAUGUACCGUGACAU
Molecule: ribosomal RNA, 145 nt
Filed under: uncultured bacterium
Lineage: Bacteria
Description: partial 16S ribosomal RNA
Rfam family: Bacterial small subunit ribosomal RNA
Source: RNAcentral